UGGGGAAUUUUGGACAAUGGGCGAAAGCCUGAUCCAGCAAUGCCGCGUGUGUGAAGAAGGCCUUCGGGUUGUAAAGCACUUUUGUCCGGAAAGAAAUCCUUGGCUCUAAUACAGUCGGGGGAUGACGGUACCGGAAGAAUAAGCACCGGCUAACUACGUGCCAGCAGCCGCGGUAAUACGUAGGGUGCAAGCGUUAAUCGGAAUUACUGGGCGUAAAGCGUGCGCAGGCGGUUUGCUAAGACCGAUGUGAAAUCCCCGGGCUCAACCUGGGAACUGCAUUGGUGACUGGCAGGCUAGAGUAUGGCAGAGGGGGGUAGAAUUCCACGUGUAGCAGUGAAAUGCGUAGAGAUGUGGAGGAAUACCGAUGGCGAAGGCAGCCCCCUGGGCCAAUACUGACGCUCAUGCACGAAAGCGUGGGGAGCAAACAGGAUUAGAUACCCUGGUAGUCCACGCCCUAAACGAUGUCAACUAGUUGUUGGGGAUUCAUUUCCUUAGUAACGUAGCUAACGCGUGAAGUUGACCGCCUGGGGAGUACGGUCGCAAGAUUAAAACUCAAAGGAAUUAACGGGGUCAUAGCUGUUUCC
RNAcentral lists this ribosomal RNA (584 nucleotides) under uncultured bacterium. Its description in RNAcentral is "partial 16S ribosomal RNA". It matches the Rfam family "Bacterial small subunit ribosomal RNA", at positions 355 to 937 of the family's 1533-position model. The record is from RNAcentral.